AUCCAGCUGACGAGUCCCAAAUAGGACGAAACGCGCGUCGAACUGAAU
This 48-nucleotide non-coding RNA is filed under the name Schistosoma mansoni. The record is from RNAcentral. Lineage: Eukaryota; Metazoa; Platyhelminthes; Trematoda; Strigeidida; Schistosomatidae.